RNAcentral lists this long non-coding RNA (1088 nucleotides) under Sinocyclocheilus anshuiensis. RNAcentral's name for it is "lncRNA (ENSSANG00000034644.1)". Lineage: Eukaryota; Metazoa; Chordata; Actinopteri; Cypriniformes; Cyprinidae. The record is from RNAcentral.
UAGGGUUUUCCUGGAUAUUGAGAAAGCAUAUGAUUCUUUGUGGAAGGAGGGAUUAAUGGUUAAAAUUUUUGAUUUAGGAGUUAGGGGAAGAAUGUUUAAUUGGAUAAAGGAUUUUUUAAUUAAAAGAACAAUUCAAGUAAAGGUUGGUAGUGUUAGUUCAAAAAUUGUGGAUAUAGAGAAUGGAACCCCACAGGGAAGUGUUAUCAGUCCAGUGUUAUUUAAUAUAAUGAUUGAUGAUAUCUUUGGUAAAAUGGAGAGAGGAUUUGGGCUUUCUUUAUUUGCAGAUGAUGGGGCCAUUUGGAAAAGAGGGCGUAAUGUAGGGUUUGUUUUAAAGCAGAUUCAAAGAAUGUUAGUGUUGGUGGAGGAAUGGGGGAAUACAUGGGGAUUUAAAAUUUCGCAAUCUAAGACAAAAUAUAUGAUAUUAGGUUUUAAAAGAAAGUUACCUAAUAUAGGGCUGUAUUUGUAUGGGUCUCCAUUGGAGAAGGUAAAGGCUUUUAAAUUUUUGGGUGUUUGGUUUGAAGAACGUAUGACUUGGGCUGUACAUGUAGGUAAGAUUGUGGAGAGGUGUGAAAAAGUUUUGAAUGUUAUGAGAAGUCUAGCUGGAUGUGAAUGGGGGGCCAAUAGGGAGACGUUAUUAUUAAUUUAUCAGGCCAUGAUCAGGUCCAUUAUUGAUUAUGGGUCCUUUGUAUAUGGGUCUGCUUCUAAAACUGUUUUGGAUAGGUUGGAUGUAGUGCAAACAAGGGCUUUGAGGAUUUGUUGUGGGGCCUUCAGAACUUCCCCAGUUUCAGCCUUGCUUAUUGAAAUGGGAGAAAUGCCCUUAUGGUUAAGGCGUAUUAAAUUAGGACUACAGUACUGGGUAAAACUUAGAGGAUGUAAUUAUACAUAUCCAGCAAGGUGUUUGUUGCAAGAGUUUGUUGGAAGUAGGAAAUAUUAUAAUUUUUUUGUUAAUGUAAAUCAGUGGGCUAGGAAGAUGGAAUUGGAACAGGGAGGUAUUGCAGAGCACAUAGGAUGGUUACCUAUGCCAUAUUGGGUGAUGCCUGAGUUGAAAGUUGAGUUUGCUUUUCUUCAGGAAAAAGAUAAGAUGGAGG